UUUCGUGAUCUUUGCUU
This 17-nucleotide small RNA is filed under the name Arabidopsis thaliana (thale cress). RNAcentral's name for it is "ATSL001120". The record is from RNAcentral. Lineage: Eukaryota; Viridiplantae; Streptophyta; Magnoliopsida; Brassicales; Brassicaceae.